RNAcentral lists this ribosomal RNA (253 nucleotides) under uncultured bacterium. RNAcentral describes it as "partial 16S ribosomal RNA". It matches the Rfam family "Bacterial small subunit ribosomal RNA", at positions 524 to 776 of the family's 1533-position model. The record is from RNAcentral.
GACGAAGGAUCCAAGCGUUAUCCGGAUUUAUUGGGUUUAAAGGGUGUGUAGGCGGGCUUUUAAGUCAGUGGUGAAAUCUCCGGGCUCAACCCGGAAACUGCCAUUGAUACUAUUAGUCUUGAAUUUUGUUGAGGUAGGCGGAAUAAGUCAUGUAGCGGUGAAAUGCAUAGAUAUGACUUAGAACACCAAUUGCGAAGGCAGCUUGCUAAACAAAUAUUGACGCUGAGGCACGAAAGCGUGGGGAUCAAACAGG